RNAcentral lists this ribosomal RNA (730 nucleotides) under uncultured bacterium. RNAcentral describes it as "bacterial SSU rRNA". It matches the Rfam family "Bacterial small subunit ribosomal RNA", at positions 59 to 776 of the family's 1533-position model. The record is from RNAcentral.
AAGUCGAACGAUAAGGGCUUCGGCCCCGAAAGUGGCGUACGGGUGGGUAACACGUAGAUAAUCUGCCCUUGAGUGGUGGAUAACGUCCCGAAAGGGGCGCUAAUACAGCAUAAUACUAUGAGUCUUCGGUCUCAUAGCCAAAGCGGGGGACCUUCGGGCCUCGUGCUUAAGGAUGAGUCUGCGGCCCAUCAGCUAGUUGGUAGUGUAAAGGACUACCAAGGCUAAGACGGGUAGCUGGUCUGAGAGGAUGAACAGCCACACUGGAACUGAGACACGGUCCAGACUCCUACGGGAGGCAGCAGUGGGGAAUCUUGCGCAAUGGGGGAAACCCUGACGCAGCGACGCCGCGUGAGCGAUGAAGGCCUUCGGGUUGUAAAGCUCUGUGGAUGGAGACGAAGAAGUAUAGAUUAACACUCUAUGCGGUGACGGUAUCCAUUUAGCAAGCACCGGCUAACUCUGUGCCAGCAGCCGCGGUAAGACAGAGGGUGCAAACGUUGUUCGGAAUUACUGGGCGUAAAGCGCGUGUAGGCGGCUUUGCAAGUCGGAUGUGAAAUCCCGCGGCUCAACCGUGGAAGUGCACCCGAAACUGCAUCGCUAGAGUAUCGGAGAGGAAAGUGGAAUGCUUGGUGUAGAGGUGAAAUUCGUAGAUAUCAAGCGGAACACCGGUGGCGAANGCGGCUUUCUGGACGAUUACUGACGCUGAGACGCGAAAGCGUGGGUAGCAAACAGG